RNAcentral lists this long non-coding RNA (299 nucleotides) under Elaeis guineensis (African oil palm). Its description in RNAcentral is "long non-coding RNA (EGUI_LNC051733)". The record is from RNAcentral. Lineage: Eukaryota; Viridiplantae; Streptophyta; Magnoliopsida; Arecales; Arecaceae.
GAUAGCCUCUACUCCAAUUCAAAAAAUUACUUUAAUCUUUUAGUAGGUACUACAAUCCACACAGACUGCACAUGAGCCCAAAUUUGCUCAAUCAAUCCAUAUGCAUCUAUGGAUAGGUUCUUAACCAAUUAUUUUAUCAAAUAAUUUUUAGUAAUUAAUUUUGCCCUAAGCUUCUCUUUAGCAAGUAUUUAUGCCUCCACUGAAAAUCUUGAUUAGAUCCACCAUUAACAUGACCAUACUAAGCACAUCUAACUAACGAAUAAUUAGGCUCGAGUUUGCUCAGCCAACCUGACCACCCA